This 657-nucleotide ribosomal RNA is filed under the name Triticum aestivum (bread wheat). Its description in RNAcentral is "partial small subunit ribosomal RNA". Lineage: Eukaryota; Viridiplantae; Streptophyta; Magnoliopsida; Poales; Poaceae. The record is from RNAcentral.
AUGUGUGUACCCAAGAACCAAGGAGGAAUGGGUUUUCGGGAUAUCCAUUGUUUCAAUUUGACUAUGCUUGCUAAACAGGCUUGGCGUCUUCUCGAGAAUCCGGAUUCUCUAUGUGCUACUAUUUUGAGAGUCAAAUACUAUCAUGACGAUGACUUGUUGAACACUGACCUGAAGAAGGGUUCUUCCUUCACCUGGCAAAGUAUUAUGGCGGGUGUGAGCUCCCUGAAGCAUGGUCAUAUUUGGCGAGUGGGAAACGGGCAGAAUAUUGACAUUUGGGAGGACGCAUGGAUUCCAAAUUGUGCAAACCGUAAAAUUAUUACCCCUAAGGGAGGCCAGUUGUUAUGGAAGGUAGCAGAUUUGAUUGAUCCAAUCCUAAAUAGUUGGGAUGAAGAUCUUCUCAGACAAACUCUAUGGCCUAUUGAUGUUCAGCGAGUGCUUACGAUCCCGAUAUCGCAACAUGAUAUGCCAGAUUUCGUAGCUUGGAAUUCACAAAAAGAUGGGAUUUUUUCGGUUCGGUCUGCUUAUUUUGUGGAAUGGGGCCACAAAUAUGGGAACAAGUUACGACAUACCAAUGGGAUGGGACGUACCACGGUCAAUCCUAUUUGGGCGAGGAUUUGGAAACUUACUUGUCCAGCAAAGGUCAAAAUAUUUAUUUGA